Molecule: ribosomal RNA, 460 nt
Filed under: uncultured bacterium
Lineage: Bacteria
Description: partial 16S ribosomal RNA
Rfam family: Bacterial small subunit ribosomal RNA
Source: RNAcentral
CCUACGGGAGGCAGCAGUGAGGAAUAUUGGUCAAUGGCCGGAAGGCUGAACCAGCCAUGCCGCGUGAAGGUCAGUGCCCUAUGGGCGUUAAACUUCUUUUGUGCGGGAGCAAUAAUGGUCACGUGUGGCCAGACGAGAGUACCGUACGAAUAAGCAUCGGCUAACUCCGUGCCAGCAGCCGCGGUAAUACGGGGGAUGCAAGCGUUAUCCGGAUUUAUUGGGUUUAAAGGGUGCGUAGGCUGUGAGGUAAGUCAGCGGUGAAAUGCCCCCGCUCAACGGGGUGAAGUGCCAUUGAUACUGCCUGGCUGGAAUGCGGAUGCCGUGGGAGGAAUGUGUGGUGUAGCGGUGAAAUGCAUAGAUAUCACACAGAACACCGAUUGCGAAGGCAUCUCACGAUUCCGCGAUUGACGCUGAUGCACGAAAGCGUGGGUAUCAAACAGGAUUAGAUACCCGAGUAGUC